ACACGACUACAUUAGAUACCCCGGUAGUCCUAGCCGUAAACGAUACUCGCUAGGUGUCGGCCACGGUGCGACCGUUGUCGGUGCCGUAGGGAAGCCGUGAAGCGAGCCACCUGGGAAGUACGGCCGCAAGGCUGAAACUUAAAGGAAUUGGCGGGGGAGCACAACAACGGGUGGAGCUUGCGGUUUAAUUGGAUUCAACGCCGGAAAUCUUACCAGGACCGACAGCAACAUGAAGGCCAAGCUGAAGACUUUGCCGGAUUAGCUG
This 265-nucleotide ribosomal RNA is filed under the name uncultured archaeon. RNAcentral's name for it is "partial 16S ribosomal RNA". It matches the Rfam family "Archaeal small subunit ribosomal RNA", at positions 717 to 982 of the family's 1478-position model. The record is from RNAcentral.